UACGGGGGGAGCAAGCGUUGUUCGGAUUUACUGGGCGUAAAGGGCGCGUAGGCGGUCAGCACAAGUCAGUUGUGAAAUCUCCGGGCUUAACUCGGAAAGGUCAACUGAUACUGUGCGACUAGAGUGCGGAAGGGGCAACUGGAAUUCUCGGUGUAGCGGUGAAAUGCGUAGAUAUCGACCGGAACUCCGGUGGCGAAGGCGAGGUGCUGGACCCUUUCUGACGCUGAGGCGCGAAAGCCAGGGGAGCAAACGGG
RNAcentral lists this ribosomal RNA (254 nucleotides) under uncultured bacterium. RNAcentral's name for it is "partial 16S ribosomal RNA". It matches the Rfam family "Bacterial small subunit ribosomal RNA", at positions 524 to 776 of the family's 1533-position model. The record is from RNAcentral.